GCAUCUCAGGACAAGCUGGCGAUGGCAUCUGUUGGUGUAUUGAUUAUCAGGGUUUGUUCAAAAGCUCUGGCCAGUUGAAUGGGUGUCUCCUUUCUCCUCACCUAUACACAUGUGUUCCCCUAAGGCUACAUUCCAGCCGAAGACACAGGAGGUCCAAAAUUAAAGCAUCACCAUUCUUUAAUGCCAAGACAUUAUAAGAAAAUUUUCUUGUUUUCAUAACUGCUGGAAUAACCAAACAG
RNAcentral lists this small RNA (239 nucleotides) under Vicugna pacos (alpaca). RNAcentral describes it as "7SK RNA (ENSVPAG00000017938.1)". Lineage: Eukaryota; Metazoa; Chordata; Mammalia; Artiodactyla; Camelidae. The record is from RNAcentral.